UUUUACAUAUUUACUGCCUUCCUCUCCAAAUAGAUCAGCAUAAUACUUUUCUAUCUAAUUUUUCCUACAAUCUCCAUCACUAUACCUUAAUCUUCGGCAUAUUUCCAGUUUUUUCUACUACAACUUGUAAUGGCGGUGAUGAGAAGUUCGUCUGCGAGUCGGCGAAUGCUCCAACGAUUCCGUCUGCUCGUUCUCUAUGAAUCCGUGAAUAUUAAAUUAUUGCUCGGAUUUUGCAUUUUGUGUACCUUGGUUAGUUGAUUUUGCUCCUUUUUGGAGCCUCUACUUCAUUGCGAUGGCAGCAGCAUUACAAUUUUGCGUAUCAAUCUGAUUUCACAGGAAGGGAUACUGGACUCUGUACACAUUGUAUAAAGUUAGCCCAAUCCUCCUUCAGAAUCUCUUAUUCGUCACUUAGAGCAUGUUGUACUGACAAACUCAAAAAAUGGCUGAAAGUUUUGAAUGAAAUUCAACAUCAAUGAAGAGGAUCAGGACAAUUUAACUAAUAGAUUUACAAAAUUCAAGGAUUUGAAGACAUAUAUGGUCUUCUCUAUUGAUGAUAUCAUAUUCCCCUGUUCUCCUGUCGAGCUGGCUUUUAGUGUAGGGUUUGUGCCAAACAUGCACUGGCCAGAUUAAUCAGUGAAUUGUGAAGAUAUUGCUUUGUUGUUUCUUCUUGCAAACGUAACUGCUGAGCCUUCAAAUUGGGUGAAAGGUAUAGAUUGACUGGAAGAGUCAAAUGUAUCGCAUCAUAUUGAUUGUUGAGUGGGAGCAUCUAGAAUGAAUAAAUAAGAAAUUGAUUGAUUUGUGCAUGGUAUUUGCACUCUGAAAUUGGAUGGGGCACCAUUUCUUAUGCUAAGAAUUUGGACUAUGCUUCCAUUUUCCAAUAGACUGUUUAACAUUAACUUUGAGACCGAUGAAAACAACUCAACUGUCAAAAGACCAUAUAUGGAAGUUGCGUUGCUUUUUCCGAAGAAUAAAGAAGUCUAAUGCGAGUGAUCAUGACCAACAUUAUUUGGGAUGUAUUAACCCUAUUACCUUUAAGCUGAAGUUCACUCAGGCUUCAAUUUCUGAAGCUGCGUACCAGUAGCAUGGAAUAAGAAUGAUAACAUUCUGAUUUCUUACAGUCUUGCUCCAGUGUUUGCUUGUCAAAUAACGUCUUCUACAACUAUUGUGCUAUUGCAACCGAUUUACUGAUGUUUCAAGCAGCGGUUCCUCCCUGUUUCAUAGAAAAUAACUAAUAUUAUAAAUUUUCAGUUUGACGCCUUGAAUUCAGAAUUUCAAGCUUCGGUUCCUCACUGUAGUUUUGUUGUCUGUUACUUUUGCGUCGAAAGUUUAAGAUUUUUAAUGCCCUUAUUGCAGGCAAGAUAUUUGAGACCGGUUCUACUGGAAUAAGUAACUUGGGAGGUCACAGCAAUUUGAAUGCCUUAUCAGGUUCGUUCCUGAGUUUGUGAAAAUGUCUUUGGUUUCAACUUCCAUGUAAGUUAUUGAUCGCUGAUACAUAUGGUUUUCGUAAUUUUUAGCUUAUCUUUACACCUUUUAAUUUUGAUCUGCAUAGUUGACUCUGUCACUUUUUUUUAAGGUUGAUCCCAUAAUCUCGUACUAUAUCUGGAUUCUUAAUCACGCUUAAAAAAGAAAAUCUGAAAUAGUGUAGGGUUCUUGAUAUCAAAAAGAUCAGUUGUUCAAUUCUUGCACUUGUGAUCCCCACCACCUAAACCAUAUCAAUGUACUACUUUCUUUGGCGGGUGAAAUUUUUGGAAGCCAUUUUCGGUAACUGAGUCAGCAGUUCAUCUUUUCUUAAAAUUUCCAGAAAGUGUAUGAAAAUGGAAUCACUAGAUCUAUAGAAGAUUCAGACUUCUGUCUGGAGGAUCUCUCUUGCCAACUAAUCUGAUGUGCUCCUGUAGGGUCAUAGUGCCAUAAAAAUAUCUAUAGGAGAAAAUUGAGUUAUAUUUUCUCUAGAUUAAGUCUAUGUGACGCAGCAGAGUUAUGCUUUCUUGUCGUACUUUUUUAUAAUUUUUGUCGUUGAAUGUAUUGUCUAAUCUUAGCCAAUUUCUUAUCCAGUAACUAUGGUUGUUAUGUAUUAUGCUUAGAAGGGGCCCUUAUGAGUUGAACAAAAUUUAUCAUGUGUGAAACAUAAACUAGUGAAACAUAAGCUUACACUUUAGUUCUAGAUAAGGUGGCUUGAGAAUAAUCAUAAAGGUCGGAUAUUAAAGGUGGCCACUUAAUAAGGACAAAUAAAAGUGCAUCGUCGUCUUAUUAUCAAUUAUCGUUGCUUUGUGAAAAAAAAAAUUCUUGAAUUUUGAAGAUCUUAGUAGAUAAUUAUGUAGAUAUUCUUUAAUAAUAGUAAAACUCAAAACCAAAGAACAAUUUGAGGACUGGGGUAGGUAGGCCAUGUAGUCUUGCCAACUUGGAGAAGGAAGUUCUAUCAUUUACACUUCUCAGCCUGCUGUGAGGCUGCACCUAUGUGCUGUUAAUUGAUGAUAAUGGAAGAUGUGGUCCUGUGAACUAACCAAAUUAUUGAACGGAAAGUGAUUGACAGCAUGAGUGUCCUUCCCAUAUCUCGGGUUCAAGGACCGGAUUUCCUCUGAUGCAAGGCAUAUAAUUGUUGAAGUGCAGAAGAUCAAAAUUUUGCAGGUGGACAUAAGGAUGGGUGAAUGGGUGCUUGGUUGUUGAAGGCGAGAUAUAAGAUGCAAUAGAAGGAAAUGUUCAAUUUUGAUUGGUUAAGCCGUAAGCUUUUUGUUUUGUUUUCUUUUUAGAACACUCCAAUUUAGGGCUUUUUUUUUAAGGUAUCCUGCCUAUUUAUUAACUAAGCUAGUUGACAUCUGCUAAUCAAUACUUAAGUAAGUCGUGCACGAGUUGCAUACUAUUGUUAUUGGUUGUUUGAUGUAACAUUUUUACAACUGAACUGAAGUUUGUAAGGAUAUGAGUGUGACUCUAAAAGUCUUCAAUUUAAAGUCAGUCUUUGAGGUAUUUUCCAGUGAUGCCAGCUUUAA
This is a long non-coding RNA of Amaranthus tricolor (Joseph's coat), 2984 nucleotides long. RefSeq lists it as uncharacterized. NCBI's taxonomy places the organism in Eukaryota, Viridiplantae, Streptophyta, Magnoliopsida, Caryophyllales, Amaranthaceae. The transcript has 5 exons. The record is from RefSeq and is a predicted model, not a curated record.